UCCCUUGUGGCUUAGCUGGUAAAGAAUCCACCUGCAAUGUGGGAGACCUGGGUUCAAUCCCUGGGCUGGGAA
This 72-nucleotide transfer RNA is filed under the name Bos taurus (domestic cattle). It matches the Rfam family "tRNA". Rfam says of the family: Transfer RNA (tRNA) molecules are approximately 80 nucleotides in length. Their secondary structure includes four short double-helical elements and three loops (D, anti-codon, and T loops). Lineage: Eukaryota; Metazoa; Chordata; Mammalia; Artiodactyla; Bovidae. The record is from Rfam by way of RNAcentral. RNAcentral also lists the same sequence under 4 other names.